AGCCGCGCGGUGCGCACAUAGCGAACUAUUCUUUCGCCUUUUACUAAAGAAUACCGUGUGCGCGCCGCUGAUAGCGGCAUACGCUUUUUUUUGGAGGGUUUCACCGUUAGGUGGCCC
Tripterygium wilfordii is the source of this 117-nucleotide small nuclear RNA. RefSeq annotates it as U5 spliceosomal RNA. Lineage: Eukaryota; Viridiplantae; Streptophyta; Magnoliopsida; Celastrales; Celastraceae. The transcript has a single exon. The record is from RefSeq and is a predicted model, not a curated record.